GACGAACGCUGGCGGCGUGCUUAACACAUGCAAGUCGAACGGAAAGGCUCCAGCUUGCUGGGGUACACGAGUGGCGAACGGGUGAGUAACACGUGGGUGACCUGCCCUUCACUUCGGGAUAAGCCUGGGAAACUGGGUCUAAUACCGGAUAGGACCAUGUGCUGGAUAGUGUGGUGGAAAGUUUUUUGGGUGUGGGAUGGGCCCUCGGCCUAUCAGCUUGUUGGUGGGGUAUUGGCCUACCAAGGCGGCGACGGGUAGCCGGCCUGAGAGGGUGGCCGGCCACAUUGGGACUGAGACACGGCCCAGACUCCUACGGGAGGCAGCAGUGGGGAAUAUUGCACAAUGGGCGGAAGCCUGAUGCAGCGACGCCGCGUGGGGGAUGACGGCCUUCGGGUUGUAAACUCCUUUCGCCAGCGACGAAGGGUUUCUGACGGUAGAUGGAGAAGAAGCACCGGCUAACUACGUG
This 466-nucleotide ribosomal RNA is filed under the name uncultured bacterium. RNAcentral describes it as "partial 16S ribosomal RNA". It matches the Rfam family "Bacterial small subunit ribosomal RNA", at positions 28 to 507 of the family's 1533-position model. The record is from RNAcentral.